UUCUGUCACAGGCACUUUGUACCUCCUGCAAGCAAGAUCUAGAAAGUCACCCAGAAAGGAGUCCUGUGGUCUUCAUUUAACUUGAAACGAAUGCUGCCCUUCUACACGUAUAUUUUUCCUACUACCUUGGGCUUCGAACUCCACAUAUGCAACUCUACUUCACCCAUUUGAGUAUUCCAGCUCCUGUCAUUAACAGAUAAGCAUUUCAUUCUUAAUGAGCAGGUAGGGAAGACAGAAAAAGUCUUCAGACUAACUGGCAGCAUCGGUAUUUUGUGGACUUCGUUCACUCCCUAUUUAGGGGCAUUUGGGUGCCCCUAAGUAAUGCUGAGUUCUACCUCAUACAAUUAUUGAAACUGAACUUCCAAUUGAGAAACUGUUGCAUUUCAAUUUGCUUUUGUCACAUACUUUUUUUCAAAGGCUCUCAACAAGAUCCUAAUACCUGCCCAAACUUCAAACACUUCUGCAUAUUAAACUUCAACUGCUGCAGAAGGAAUUCUGCCUGAACUCUGCUCCAAAAACACAACAAAUCACCUUGAAUGUAGAAUUAAAGUAAAAAGAAGUAUAAAUUACUCAAACAAAAGAAGGGGAAAACACAGACAGAAGAAGAUGAGGCUGCAUGCAGUAUAAUUAGCCAGAAUGUUCAGAGCAAUAUCCCCUCUUUCAAGGAAUACCAAGGGACCUCAGCAACUUCGACCAUCUGCUUUUGCUGUUGCAGUUGGCACAUGUGCACCUGGCUUAGAAAGCUAAAUAAGAUACAAACGAACAUGUAUAUCAGUAAUAAGACCUAUGGAGAAUUGUAUUUGUGGAAAAUGGAAAUAAAGAGUUAACGGAGAAGAAAAGGCAGGAUGGUUUUUCUUCCUUCUAACGCUUUAACCAACCAACUCCAGGAGAGGGAUUUGCAGGCAGGCAGUUGCUCCCUUCAGCCAACAGCUCAUCCAGUUGAGAGCAGAUAUUCUCAUUGGAUGGCUCAUCCACAGAGCUGACAUUUCCUAAGGUGGAACACUGUGUCACUAGCACAAGAUGGCAGUAAAACAAGAAGCUCGGAAACAAUGACAAUCUGCCAGCUUAACUCUGGGAAUAACAAGACUUCGUCUCUUCCUCUCCACCAGAGCCAGCAAAGCUGCUCUUAGCUCACACCACGCAUUUCCCUGGAUGAAAUGCAGAUGGACAGAGAACUGUACAAAUCAUAGUGAGCCUAACACAUAAUUACCUACUGCGAGGACCAGAGGCAGCCCAGAUAAUUCAAAGCUACUUACCAAUUCCACCACCAAAAA
Gallus gallus (chicken) is the source of this 1274-nucleotide long non-coding RNA. Lineage: Eukaryota; Metazoa; Chordata; Aves; Galliformes; Phasianidae. The record is from Ensembl.